CCGAGUUUACAACUCCCAAACCCAAUGUGAACGUUACCAAACUGUUGCCUCGGCGGGGUCACGCCCCGGGUGCGUAAAAGCCCCGGAACCAGGCGCCCGCCGGAGGAACCAACCAAACUCUUUCUGUAGUCCCCUCGCGGACGUAUUUCUUACAGCUCUGAGCAAAAAUUCAAAAUGAAUC
RNAcentral lists this unclassified non-coding RNA (181 nucleotides) under soil metagenome. RNAcentral's name for it is "partial internal transcribed spacer 1". The record is from RNAcentral.